CGUUUCUGGCUGAAGGUGCUUCCUGCUCUGGUUCCCUGCUGUCAUGUCUCCCUACCACUGUGGACUCUCUUUCUUUGAAACUACAAAAGUUUCAUAGAACUCAGCAAAUUCUGGGGCAUUGUCGUUGACGUCGAGAACUUUAAUAUAUAGAGGCACGCGGCUGCUUUGCUUUGGAUUAUCUGAUGCACACCAAAAAGAAAGAAACAGGCAUUUUUGUGUCAGUCACCGUUUCUCCUUGGACGACAGCAGCCACCUACUCUCAUUCUCAUCCUUGUGCGCUAAUCCCCAGGUCUGCUGGAGGACGGACUUCAGGUCUGAGGGGCAGAAGUUAGGAGUUCACGCUUUCUCUUUCUCCACUUAACCCACAUCUAUUUGAACGUUCAUUUAAUAAAACCUUCCUGAAACAUCUGACA
Mastomys coucha (southern multimammate mouse) is the source of this 413-nucleotide long non-coding RNA. RefSeq lists it as uncharacterized. Lineage: Eukaryota; Metazoa; Chordata; Mammalia; Rodentia; Muridae. The transcript is spliced from 2 exons. The record is from RefSeq and is a predicted model, not a curated record.